AACGAACGCUGGCGGCAGGCCUAACACAUGCAAGUCGAGCGGACCCUUCGGGGUUAGCGGCGGACGGGUGAGUAACGCGUGGGAAUAUGCCCUUCUCUACGGAAUAGUCCUGGGAAACUGGGGGUAUACCGUAUACGCCCUUUGGGGGAAAGAUUUAUCGGGGAAGGAUUAGCCCGCGUUGGAUUAGGUAGUUGGUGGGGUAAUGGCCUACCAAGCCGACGAUCCAUAGCUGGUUUGAGAGGAUGAUCAGCCACACUGGGACUGAGACACGGCCCAGACUCCUACGGGAGGCAGCAGUGGGGAAUCUUAGACAAUGGGGGCAACCCUGAUCUAGCCAUGCCGCGUGAGUGAUGAAGGCCUUAGGGUUGUAAAGCUCUUUCAGCUGGGAAGAUAAUGACGGUACCAGCAGAAGAAGCCCCGGCUAACUCCGUG
This 432-nucleotide ribosomal RNA is filed under the name uncultured bacterium. RNAcentral describes it as "partial 16S ribosomal RNA". It matches the Rfam family "Bacterial small subunit ribosomal RNA", at positions 29 to 507 of the family's 1533-position model. The record is from RNAcentral.